UCCAUCUUAUCUUCUUAUAAUCAGUGUCUACCAGGUGGUCAGUCUUUUGGAUUUUUGCCAGUCUGAUGGGUGAGAAGUGGUCCCUCAGUGUACACUGGACCCUUGAACACAGCACAGAGGUUCAGGAUGCUGACCCUCCACGUAUAACUUUGUCUCCCCCUCACCCCCGAACUUAACUCCUAAUAGCCUACCGUCAACCGAUAUCAGACACCUUAUCGAUAACAUAAGCCAUUGAUUAACACAUAUUUGUGUGUUAUAUGUACUGUAUACGUUCUUCUUACAGUAAGUAAGCUGGAGAAAAGAAAAUGUAUGGAGAAAAUCAUAAGGAAAGGAAUUUACAUUCACAGAGUGUACGGCAUUUAUUGAAAAAAAAAAAAGAACCCUGUGUAUUGAUGCCCAGAAGUAGACUCGCUGGAUCACGUGGAGCUCUAUGGGAAGCCUUAGGUGGACCAAGAAACGACAAGGCAGAUCGUUCUGAUGGGGCUGUGAGCUGCCUGGUCCCCUCGUGCCAUCAUGCCCACGUGUCCUGAGGACACCACUUGACCCCUCCCUGGGCCUGUCUGCAGUGUGGGGUCUGUCCUUUGAAAACCAUCACUGGUGUGCUGGCUUCUCCUCCCUUCUCAUGGGUGGAGUCUCUGAGCAGAAUGGCUGUAACUCUCAUGAGACUGUCUAAUUUGUGACCUCAGGAAAGAGACACUAAACCAUCCUGCCUGCGGGCGCCGUGCAAGUGCUGGGGACACAGAUGUGAGGAAAACCAUUGUGUCGUGCUCACAGCACCAGCAUCCUGUGGGGUGAGGGGAUGUGCAAGGACAGCGAUCAAAUAACAGAGCUGCCAGUGGCGCCUGGAGGGCUCAGCCGGUUGAGUGUCCGACUUCAGCUCAGGCCAUGAUCUCACAGCUCAGGUCAUG
Hyaena hyaena (striped hyena) is the source of this 908-nucleotide long non-coding RNA. RefSeq lists it as uncharacterized. The transcript is spliced from 4 exons. Lineage: Eukaryota; Metazoa; Chordata; Mammalia; Carnivora; Hyaenidae. The record is from RefSeq and is a predicted model, not a curated record.